AUUCCAGCUCCAAUAGCGUAUAUUAAAGUUGUUGCGGUUAAAAAGCUCGUAGUUGGAUUUCUGUUGAGGAAGUCCGGUCCGCACUUUGUGCGUGAUCUGGUUCUGCCUCGGCAUCCUCGCGGGGAACGCGCUGCGCUUGAUUGCGUGGUGCGGUAUUCGCGACUUUUACUUUGAGGAAAUUAGAGUGUUCACGGCAGGCUAUCGCCUUGAAUACGUUAGCAUGGAAUAAUAAUAUAGGACCUUGGUUCUAUUUUGUUGGUUUCUAGAACUAAGGUAAUGAUUAAUAGGGAUAAUUGGGGGCAUUUGUAUUAACACGUCAGAGGUGAAAUUCUUGGAUUGUGUUACGACAAACUACUGCGAAAGCAUUUGCCAAGGAUGUUUUCAUUA
This 387-nucleotide ribosomal RNA is filed under the name Syndiniales sp. RNAcentral's name for it is "partial small subunit ribosomal RNA". It matches the Rfam family "Eukaryotic small subunit ribosomal RNA", at positions 582 to 975 of the family's 1831-position model. Lineage: Eukaryota; Dinophyceae; Syndiniales. The record is from RNAcentral.